This is a long non-coding RNA of Sinocyclocheilus anshuiensis, 381 nucleotides long. RefSeq lists it as uncharacterized. The transcript has 3 exons. NCBI's taxonomy places the organism in Eukaryota, Metazoa, Chordata, Actinopteri, Cypriniformes, Cyprinidae. The record is from RefSeq and is a predicted model, not a curated record.
AAGGGGACUUAGACAGACAUUCUGUUCUGUUUCAGCUGGACUGUAUCGCAGUGACUAUCGGGAUCAGAAGAGACUUUCUAUGUUCUGAGGCUGAAACCUCAACUUUUAUCUGGGGGACAAACAAUGCAAGAGAAUGCCUGCAGCGGAGAAAGUCAAUUGGAGAGCGUCUCAGAUUGUUCCCCAGACUCCCCAGACUUGUGUCCACUGUCCUGCAUGGUGCCCUUUGCAGUCCGCAGGCUUUCCUGCCGAACCGUCCAGCUGCCCCCUUUGGCCUUCAGGCAGGCUGAGCAGUACUACUGUGAGAGGAAACCAGAGACAGAGACGGCCCAGCCUCGACCCACCAGCCUCCCCUUGAGAGCACCUCCACUCAUUGCCAUCACC